UUACUGAACUUCCUUUUUUUCUUUUUUCUUUUGUUGUUUUUUUUUUUUUUUUUGCCCCUGGUAGACUUAUUCCUUUAAAGGUGCACUAGAAGUGUUUUGAGAAGUCUUUAGAUCACACUGAAAGACAGUAUAGCCUAAGAAUUAGAAGUCUCUUUAACACUGAGAAUUACCGAAUGCCAGAGGCUGGGAGGGAUCUCUGGAUAUCCAUCCCUGCUCCAUCCACCCUGCUCUAG
Molecule: long non-coding RNA, 233 nt
Filed under: Cyanistes caeruleus (blue tit)
Lineage: Eukaryota; Metazoa; Chordata; Aves; Passeriformes; Paridae
Description: lncRNA (ENSCCEG00000000282.1)
Source: RNAcentral